RNAcentral lists this ribosomal RNA (253 nucleotides) under uncultured bacterium. RNAcentral describes it as "partial 16S ribosomal RNA". It matches the Rfam family "Bacterial small subunit ribosomal RNA", at positions 524 to 776 of the family's 1533-position model. The record is from RNAcentral.
UACGAAGGGGGCUAGCGUUGUUCGGAAUUACUGGGCGUAAAGCGCACGUAGGCGGAUUUGUAAGUCAGGGGUGAAAUCCCGGGGCUCAACCCCGGAACUGCCUUUGAUACUGCAAGUCUCGAGUCCGAGAGAGGUGAGUGGAAGUCCUAGUGUAGAGGUGAAAUUCGUAGAUAUUAGGAAGAACACCAGUGGCGAAGGCGGCUCACUGGCUCGGUACUGACGCUGAGGUGCGAAAGCGUGGGGAGCAAACAGG